CCUACGGGGGGCUGCAGUAAGGAAUAUUGGUCAAUGGACGCAAGUCUGAACCAGCCAUGCCGCGUGGAGGAUGAAGGUCCUCUGGAUUGUAAACUUCUUUUAUUUGGGAAGAAACCCACGAUUUCUAUUGUGGUUGACGGUACCAGAUGACUAAGCACCGGCUAACUCCGUGCCAGCAGCCGCGGUAAUACGGAGGGUGCAGGCGUUAUCCGGAUUCACUGGGGUGAAGGCGUGCGUGGACGUCCAUGGUGAAAUCCCCGAGCUUAACUUGGGAACUGCCGGUGAUACUAUCUGUCUUGAAUACUGUGGAGGUAAGCGGAAUAUGUCAUGUAGCGGUGAAAUGCUUAGAUAUGACAUAGAACACCUAUUGCGAAGGCAGCUUGCUACACAGUCAUUGACGCUGAGGCACGAAAGCGUGGGGAUCAAACAGGAUUAGAUACCCCAGUAGUC
RNAcentral lists this ribosomal RNA (450 nucleotides) under uncultured bacterium. RNAcentral's name for it is "partial 16S ribosomal RNA". It matches the Rfam family "Bacterial small subunit ribosomal RNA", at positions 338 to 795 of the family's 1533-position model. The record is from RNAcentral.